Molecule: transfer RNA, 65 nt
Filed under: Dinocampus coccinellae
Lineage: Eukaryota; Metazoa; Arthropoda; Insecta; Hymenoptera; Braconidae
Description: tRNA-Thr
Source: RNAcentral
AGUUAUAUAAUUUAAAUUAAAAUAUUAAUUUUGUAAAUUAAUUUUAAACAAAGGUUUUAUAACUU